Molecule: ribosomal RNA, 427 nt
Filed under: Didymium megalosporum
Lineage: Eukaryota; Evosea; Eumycetozoa; Physariida; Didymiaceae
Description: SSU rRNA
Rfam family: Eukaryotic small subunit ribosomal RNA
Source: RNAcentral
ACACGUAUGAAAGACAAGCUGAAAGACUUUUCUCAAUGAUGUAAGUGGUGGUGCAUGGUCGUUCUUAGUUCGUGGAUUGAUUUGUCUGGUCUAUUCCGAUAACGAGCGAGACCCCGGCGUUCCUAAUAGAGGCGGCAGCCCGGCUUACUUCGCAAGAAGUCUGCUAGCAGCCGUCGUAUAAAACUUCUUAGACGUAUCAGAGCCGAUAAGGUUCUUGAAAUGGGUUAAUAACAGGUCAGUCAUGCCCUUAGAUGUUCUGGGCCGCACGCGCGUUACAAUGGUAUAAAUAGAAAGUGCUCACACGGGCUUUUCCGCGGCCUAAUGGUCGCGGUAAUCCCUAAUCUCUCCCUUGACUGGGACAGACUAUUGCAAUUAUUGGUCUCAAACGAGGAAUUUUUAGUAGUCGCAGGUCAUUAACCUGCGACGA